RNAcentral lists this ribosomal RNA (446 nucleotides) under uncultured bacterium. Its description in RNAcentral is "partial 16S ribosomal RNA". It matches the Rfam family "Bacterial small subunit ribosomal RNA", at positions 338 to 795 of the family's 1533-position model. The record is from RNAcentral.
CCUACGGGUGGCAGCAGUCGAGAAUCAUUCACAAUGGGGGAAACCCUGAUGGUGCGACGCCGCGUGGGGGAAUGAAGGUCUUCGGAUUGUAAACCCCUGUCAUGUGGGAGCAAAUUAAAAAGAUAGUACCACAAGAGGAAGAGACGGCUAACUCUGUGCCAGCAGCCGCGGUAAUACAGAGGUCUCAAGCGUUGUUCGGAAUCACUGGGCGUAAAGGGUGCGUAGGCGGUUUCGUAAGUCGUGUGUGAAAGGCGCGGGCUCAACCCGCGGACGGCAGAUGAUACUGCGAGACUAGAGUAAUGGAGGGGGAACCGGAAUUCGCGGUGUAGCAGUGAAAUGUGUAGAUAUCGAGAGGAACACUCGUGGCGAAGGCGGGUUCCUGGACAUUAACUGACGCUGAGGCACGAAGGCCAGGGGAGCGAAAGGGAUUAGAUACCCGAGUAGUC